AGAGAGGGAACAGGAGGUCCUGGAAAGGAGGUGAACAUGCUUGCCUUCAUUCUGAAGUCAGUUAAAAGAUGCCCAUGAAUGGAUGUUUGUUUCAGUGUUGAAUGGACAUGAAAGACUCUACAGAGAUGUUGGGCGUCACAAGGGAAACCUACCUUAAAAUGGCUAAGAACUUAGAAGUUGCCAAUGACUGUUGGAAAAGACAGAUAAAAGAGGGCUAAAAAUAAAAAGCACAACUGGAUGCCCUUGAGGAAAGGGCUAUUUUCAGAGUGCCUGGAUGGACAGCAAAGAAAUCAAACCAACCACUUAAAUAAAAAUUUAUUGACAAUAAAUAAUUUUAUACAUUAAAAAAGAA
Molecule: long non-coding RNA, 352 nt
Filed under: Rattus norvegicus (Norway rat)
Lineage: Eukaryota; Metazoa; Chordata; Mammalia; Rodentia; Muridae
Description: long non-coding RNA NONRATT027442
Source: RNAcentral